Heteronotia binoei (common prickly gecko) is the source of this 102-nucleotide small nuclear RNA. NCBI's taxonomy places the organism in Eukaryota, Metazoa, Chordata, Lepidosauria, Squamata, Gekkonidae. The record is from RefSeq and is a predicted model, not a curated record.
AUGUUCGUCAGCAGCAUAUAUACUAAAAUUGGAAUGAUACAGGUAAGAUUAGCAUGGCCCCUGCCCAAGAAUGACAUGCAAAUUGAAGUGUUCCAUAUACAU